GGGCCAAGAAGGCGGAAUGCGAGUCGGCUGUGGACACCACGGAGCUGUCGGCGAUGCUGCUGCGGGUGCAGCUGGAGGUGCGGCAGCAGAACAGGGACGUCCUGGAUGAGCUGCAGCAGCUGAGGCAUGAAGUACGGGUCGUGUCUGAGAGGCUGGAUGAAACAGCCUCUCGACAAGACCCGUGCAGUGUCUCAGCCUGCCUUGUCGACGGUGCCUCCAGUUCUUCCUCGGCUACCUGCCGGCAAUAUUAAAGAAGUAGAGGCAGCCGUGCGGGAUGAGGCUGUGGCUGCCACCUUGCGCAAGCACCUCCUGCAAAUAGGAGGGAAGUCAUUGCGCGAGGUGGCAUCGAAUGCCAUGAAGGCUGUAAUGGCGCACCCCGUCCAAGUGCUUUACAGCUUUCAUAGCAGGAAGGGGAAGAGGGCAUUCAUCAACUUGAAGUUAUGCCAGAUAGUCACAGGUAAAGCUUCCUUAGUCAUCCUUUUGCAUUGUUGAAGUAUUUUGUAUACAGCCGAACUCCUCUACAGCGAAAUGGCUUGCAUAACAAGAGAUUGUCCUUGCCAAAAUCCUGUCUUUCAUAUGAAUUGUCAACUUCUACAACGAAGAAAUUUAGGCGUCCCUGUUGGCUGAUUUCAUUUUUCACUAUGAAAGCGACAUACUCAGCCACCACUGCCCUUGCAGAAAUUGCGAAAGUGUGCUCUACAUUAGCACCAAUGGCAGCUUAGGUGAAUUGCUUGACGAGCAUGCCGAUGAAUUGCAUCAUACCAGGCAGCUUACACGUUUAGCAUCAGCGGGUGAGACAGUUGAAUAUGUCUCGGUUAGUAAAGACUUGGUGUGAUCAUCACUGAUGACGUUAACGCUAUGUUAGGGUGGAAAAACAGGAAUGUCAACGAAGGCAACAGCGAUGAAGAUCCUGUAAAUGGAUCAAGAAUUUUCAUGGUGGGGAAGGCGAUAGCAGCAUUUAAUUAUCCACAGGAAUACUUUGCGUAUCCUGCAUUUCGCCGCUGAGCAUGCUGUGAACCUCGAUUCAAUAACGUUGGCUGCGGUUGCAAAUUCUGUCAGAUAAACUGUGUGCUAAAGACUUAGCAACUUAUUUCACUAAGUCUCUUGAGUUCAUGUUAAGGUUUUCUUUUGUUGAAUGUGUUUGCCUGCUCUAUUGUGGGUGAUCUUUACGGUGCAUGUUGUAUGGACUAAUUGUGGUCUUUGUAUGGUUGUGUGCACAUGUCAUCUGUGCGAAAGGGGGGGGGGCGACCUGACAGAAGCACAGGACUUCAUUAAGAGGUGGUUGCCAGGGUCUGUGGACAGGGGUGUUGGCAGGAAGAGGCGUUUCGCAGAAACGCUUGCAGCAGAGAAGCCCGAUGAUCCCUCCCUUUGGGGCAGGAAUCAUUGCCGGCCCACUGCUGCCCUCUCCCUGCCCCACCCUAGCCCUCAGGUCCCUGGCCAUUCCACUGUCGGCCCCUCCUGUCCGGCUGCUGCUGCCCCUGCUCCUGCAGUCCCUGCCGCCCCUGCCCCUCCUCCUGCUGCUACCCCUGGAGCUGAGCACCCCUACUGAUGCCUGCAUCAGUUCAAGAAUUGUAUUCUAAAUAAAUUAUAUUUU
Long non-coding RNA from Dermacentor silvarum, 1594 nucleotides. RefSeq lists it as uncharacterized. The transcript has 3 exons. The record is from RefSeq and is a predicted model, not a curated record. Lineage: Eukaryota; Metazoa; Arthropoda; Arachnida; Ixodida; Ixodidae.